AAUCUUCCGCAAUGGACGAAAGUCUGACGGAGCAACGCCGCGUGAGUGAUGAAGGUUUUCGGAUCGUAAAACUCUGUUGUUAGGGAAGAACAAGUACCGUUCGAAUAGGGCGGUACCUUGACGGUACCUAACCAGAAAGCCACGGCUAACUACGUGCCAGCAGCCGCGGUAAUACGUAGGUGGCAAGCGUUGUCCGGAAUUAUUGGGCGUAAAGCGCGCGCAGGCGGUUUCUUAAGUCUGAUGUGAAAGCCCCCGGCUCAACCGGGGAGGGUCAUUGGAAACUGGGGAACUUGAGUGCAGAAGAGGAGAGUGGAAUUCCACGUGUAGCGGUGAAAUGCGUAGAGAUGUGGAGGAACACCAGUGGCGAAGGCGACUCUCUGGUCUGUAACUGACGCUGAGGCGCGAAAGCGUGGGGAGCGAACAGGAUUAGAUACCCUGGUAGUCCACGCCGUAAACGAUGAGUGCUAAGUGUUAGAGGGUUUCCGCCCUUUAGUGCUGCAGCAAACGCAUUAAGCACUCCGCCUGGGGAGUACGGUCGCAAGACUGAAACUCAAAGGAAUUGACGGGGGCCCGCACAAGCGGUGGAGCAUGUGGUUUAAUUCGAAGCAACGCGAAGAACCUUACCAGGUCUUGACAUCCUCUGACAACCCUAGAGAUAGGGCUUCCCCUUCGGGGGCAGAGUGACAGGUGGUGCAUGGUUGUCGUCAGCUCGUGUCGUGAGAUGUUGGGUUAAGUCCCGCAACGAGCGCAACCCUUGAUCUUAGUUGCCAGCAUUCAGUUGGGCACUCUAAGGUGACUGCCGGUGACAAACCGGAGGAAGGUGGGGAUGACGUCAAAUCAUCAUGCCCCUUAUGACCUGGGCUACACACGUGCUACAAUGGGCAGAACAAAGGGCAGCGAAGCCGCGAGGCUAAGCCAAUCCCACAAAUCUGUUCUCAGUUCGGAUCGCAGUCUGCAACUCGACUGCGUGAAGCUGGAAUCGCUAGUAAUCGCGGAUCAGCAUGCCGCG
This 1009-nucleotide ribosomal RNA is filed under the name Bacillus licheniformis. RNAcentral's name for it is "bacterial SSU rRNA". It matches the Rfam family "Bacterial small subunit ribosomal RNA", at positions 360 to 1361 of the family's 1533-position model. Lineage: Bacteria; Bacillati; Bacillota; Bacilli; Caryophanales; Bacillaceae. The record is from RNAcentral.